Molecule: ribosomal RNA, 460 nt
Filed under: uncultured bacterium
Lineage: Bacteria
Description: partial 16S ribosomal RNA
Rfam family: Bacterial small subunit ribosomal RNA
Source: RNAcentral
CCUACGGGUGGCAGCAGUGAGGUAUAUUGGUCAAUGGACGAGAGUCUGAACCAGCCAAGUAGCGUGAAGGAUGACUGCCCUAUGGGUUGUAAACUUCUUUUAUAUGGGAAUAAAAUGUUCCACGUGUGGGAUUUUGUAUGUACCAUAUGAAUAAGGAUCGGCUAACUCCGUGCCAGCAGCCGCGGUAAUACGGAGGAUCCGAGCGUUAUCCGGAUUUAUUGGGUUUAAAGGGAGCGUAGGUGGAUUGUUAAGUCAGUUGUGAAAGUUUGCGGCUCAACCGUAAAAUUGCAGUUGAAACUGGCAGUCUUGAGUACAGUAGAGGUGGGCGGAAUUCGUGGUGUAGCGGUGAAAUGCUUAGAUAUCACGAAGAACACCGAUUGCGAAGGCAGUUCACUGGACUGCAACUGACACUGAGGCUCGAAAGUGUGGGUAUCAAACAGGAUUAGAUACCCCAGUAGUC